UACGUAGGGGGCAAGCGUUGUCCGGAUUUAUUGGGCGUAAAGAGCGUGUAGGCGGCCUGACAAGUCUGCUGUGAAAACUCGAGGCUCAACCUCGAGAUGUCGGCGGAAACUGUCUGGCUAGAGUCCGGAAGAGGAGAGUGGAAUUCCUGGUGUAGCGGUGAAAUGCGCAGAUAUCAGGAAGAACACCAACGGCGAAGGCAGCUCGCUGGGACGGUACUGACGCUGAGACGCGAAAGCGUGGGGAGCGAACAGG
This 253-nucleotide ribosomal RNA is filed under the name uncultured bacterium. Its description in RNAcentral is "partial 16S ribosomal RNA". It matches the Rfam family "Bacterial small subunit ribosomal RNA", at positions 524 to 776 of the family's 1533-position model. The record is from RNAcentral.